CCGCCGCCUCCGCCGCCUCCGCCCCCUGCGCCACGCGGUGGCCGGAGCCUCCCGGCGGGUCCUCGGCUGCAGAGAAGCCGGAGCGGCGCAGAGGGAAGUUAGGGCUUCCGCGCGCUCUCUCCUCCCGCGGCGCUCCGUCCUCAGGCUGGGAUGUGCACGCGGCGGCGGCGGCUCCUGAGCUUUACACCCCGCAGGCAGGAGCCGGAGGACGGUGGGGAGGAAGCGACCCGCGCAGAGGCAGCCGGGACAAGUCCCAGGGCCGCGGUGCCGCGCGCAGAGUCGCUCUCUCUCUUUCUCUCUCUCUCCUCCGCCCUGGACACUUUAAGCAGCGGUGGCGGCAGGCUCGCAGACCCGACAGCCAGGCUCCCGCGUUCCGACGUCUCUCUGACCUCCGCGGAUGACAAGUGAGCAAGAAGUGUCCAGCCGGGCCAUCCCCUUCAGGGUAAUCGCUGGGGCUUGGUGCCUGCACUAGGAAUCCACUGCUCCUGGAAGCCAUCGUUUUCCGUUGUUGUUACUGUUAUUGUUGCAUAGGACACAGAAAUUGAAAGAAGAGAGAAAGACACCUGCAGACCAGCUUCAGCGCUUGCGAAGCGACACCUCUGCAGGACUACAUACAGGAAGUACUCUCCAGAUUCCUUGAAAGUGAAAUAUAUGUCAUGGGAUCCAGGAAUUAUUCAUGGAAUUGAAGAUAUUAGACUUUAUUUAAAAUGUCUUUCCCUUGGAAAAAAAAUGAAAGUCCUCUGUAUGUUAUUGUCACAAAUAUCAAAGUUCUAAAUACAGUUAUUCUAUAAAUAGUGGUGUUGAGCUGGGGAGAUAGCAUAAUGGUUAUGCAAAAGCCUUUCAAGCCUGAGGCUCUGAGGUCCCAGGUUCAAUCCCCAGCACAACCAUAAGCCAGAACUGAGCAGUGUUCUGGUCCCCUUUCUGUCUCUUGGUAUCUUUUCCUCUGUAUCUACUAUUUCUCAUUAAAAUAAAAUAGAUAAAAAUAUGUAAACAAAUAAAUAGUGCAGUAUUGAUUAAUGCUGCACUGGUGUCAAGAAACAUAAAGAAAAAAUGGUCAUACUUUAUAACCAUACUAUGGUCAUGAAUUCUGCAUCUGGAAAAAGCAACUUUCCACCAACAUCAAAUGAUGGAGGCAAAUUCAGUCAAACUACUAACUCUUGAAAAUAGCUAGCUGCCUGAUUAAAUUAAAUUUAUUUUACUCUAAACCAGUCUGUAGGAAAAAAAAAAUCAAUGAACUUGAAAAUAAUAAUUCUGAGUAGCAUAUUAAAAUAGGGAUGAUCGAUCACUACAGAACUGAUUUAAUAAAGAAAUUGACUGUGA
This is a long non-coding RNA of Erinaceus europaeus (western European hedgehog), 1320 nucleotides long. RefSeq lists it as uncharacterized. Lineage: Eukaryota; Metazoa; Chordata; Mammalia; Eulipotyphla; Erinaceidae. The transcript has 3 exons. The record is from RefSeq and is a predicted model, not a curated record.